This 305-nucleotide long non-coding RNA is filed under the name Phoenix dactylifera (date palm). RNAcentral describes it as "long non-coding RNA (PDAC_LNC016087)". The record is from RNAcentral. Lineage: Eukaryota; Viridiplantae; Streptophyta; Magnoliopsida; Arecales; Arecaceae.
AUCCUCUGAUUUUAAGAAGCACCUAACAACAGCUACUACCCCAUUCAUGAUGCAAAUGUAAGAAUGCGACCAUAAUCAUGAUAAUCUGCAACAUUUUACAUCAAGUUAGACUGCAUCAAAGACAACCUGUUGGAAGUUUCUAGUCUUCUCAACACAUUUCCAAGCAUGGAUAUGAUUAGCCAGUUUAACAAGGAGGCUCCAUACAAGCAUAUAUCAUGACAUGGAAAGCACAUCAUAGAUUUCUUCCACAAUGAACAUAAUAAUACCAUUCCUUAAGUUACUCUUUCCGUGCCUCUAUAACCAGC